Long non-coding RNA from Dendroctonus ponderosae (mountain pine beetle), 342 nucleotides. RefSeq lists it as uncharacterized. NCBI's taxonomy places the organism in Eukaryota, Metazoa, Arthropoda, Insecta, Coleoptera, Curculionidae. The transcript is spliced from 2 exons. The record is from RefSeq and is a predicted model, not a curated record.
UCGCCUGAAAAUCCACAAAACCCAUUUUAGCCCAAAUCGUUUACUUUCAAACCGAAAACUUGAACGUGCCGCACUGUUCUUCCAAACAUUGCAACACCGCCUAAAGGUCACAACGUUUGGUCGGUACUGCCUUCAUUGACCACUAGAAUACCACUAGAGCCCCACUGGCCAAGGGGGCGAUUCACGAAAGAGCGCAGGACAGGCAAGGUAGUGGUUUCCAAGUGCAAUUCAAACAAAAGCGCCUUCAAGCUGUUUUCACUGGAUGGUUUAUUACAAAAAAAAAUCUUCUUCCGAUCAUAUUUUACAAUAAAUUACACAAAAAUUGUACAGCCAUUCUUACUA